GACGAACGCUGGCGGCGUGCUUAACACAUGCAAGUCGAACGGUGAACCAGAGCUUGCUCUGGGGAUCAGUGGCGAACGGGUGAGUAACACGUGGGCAACCUGCCCAGACUCUGGGAUAACCUCGGGAAACCGAUGCUAAUACCGGAUACGACCACUUCGGACAUCCGACGGUGGUGGAAAGUUUUUCGGUCUGGGAUGGGCCCGCGGCCUAUCAGCUAGUUGGUGGGGUAAUGGCCUACCAAGGCGACGACGGGUAGCCGGCCUGAGAGGGCGACCGGCCACACUGGAACUGAGACACGGUCCAGACUCCUACGGGAGGCAGCAGUGGGGAAUAUUGCACAAUGGGCGAAAGCCUGAUGCAGCGACGCCGCGUGAGGGACGACGGCCUUCGGUUGUAAACCGUACUUUCAGCAGGGACGAAGCGAAAGUGACUGUACCUGCAGAAGAAGACACCGGCUAACUACGUGCCAGCAG
RNAcentral lists this ribosomal RNA (474 nucleotides) under uncultured bacterium. RNAcentral's name for it is "bacterial SSU rRNA". It matches the Rfam family "Bacterial small subunit ribosomal RNA", at positions 28 to 514 of the family's 1533-position model. The record is from RNAcentral.